UCGGUGGCCAAGUGGUUAGCGCACUUGCCUUUCACCUCUGAGGCUGCAGGUUCGAGUCUCACUAAGUACCUUCUCAUUGCGACUCGAACCCAGUCCCCAUGUGAAAAGAGUAAAAGUCAACGCUCUGCCCAAAGCCGUGGGUUUUCCCCGGGUACUCCGGUUUCCUCCCACAGGGAAAGUUGACAAGGGUGGGUUAGGUAAAAAGGGCCCACAGUAAUUGGCAUAUGCUGUUGUGGUGACCCUGCCCUAGUUGGCAAAGCUAAAUAAAUAAAAAAAAAAAUUAAAAAAAAAAGUCUUAUUUCAGAUCAGUGCUGUGAGCAGGUUGAUUCCUGCCAAAGGGCCGAUAGUUG
Molecule: non-coding RNA, 350 nt
Organism: Paramuricea clavata
Lineage: Eukaryota; Metazoa; Cnidaria; Anthozoa; Malacalcyonacea; Plexauridae
Source: the annotation of a GenBank genome assembly